Long non-coding RNA from Vicia villosa (hairy vetch), 985 nucleotides. RefSeq lists it as uncharacterized. The record is from RefSeq and is a predicted model, not a curated record. The transcript is spliced from 3 exons. NCBI's taxonomy places the organism in Eukaryota, Viridiplantae, Streptophyta, Magnoliopsida, Fabales, Fabaceae.
CCUUGUUGCCUGUUGCCUUGUAUUUUUGCAGAAUAGUCAGUCCCUCGAAUACAAGGAUAGCCAUGUUGCCUCGAUUAAAGAUCAUGGUCCCUAAUGAUGCUAUGGUCCCUAAUGAUGCUGCCUUCGAUACACUAAACAUGAUCUCGACCCUCGGAAGUUGCCUACGAAAAGGCUGAGGUAUCCCUUAGACUACCUGCCUCCCUAUGGCAUGGGACAGUCUUAUGGCAAACGAACUCUCGAUGACCCUUCAACCUCCAAAUGAAAGGCUUCCUGCCCUCUUAUGGCAAGGAUAGACCUUUUCACCCUGAAAGGCUAAAAGAACUUCUUUUUCAAACUAUAAGGGCACAUGCGAAGUUUUCGUUCUUGAAGAACCUUUAUGACGAUCACCUUGUUGUGGCAGCUGAUUCUGAGGCUAUGGGCGACGACUUCUUUGUUCAGUAUCACUGUUAGUGUGCUUUGAGGUGUUGCUUCAUGUACUUGGUUGGCACGUCCUUUUUCGUGGACAAAAUUCCUAACUACGUGGAUGUAACAUACUUCCGGUACUUCGUGGAUUUGGAUGCAAUGAGUGUAUGGAACUGGGGGUUAACUGUUUUGCAUAUUUAUACCAAAAGUUGAAUGGAGCCUUUAAUUGGAGGACGGGGAAUCUUACAGGCUCUUGCUUGCUGCUGACGGAUGAAUCAUUUCUCACUUCCACUGCAUUCAUGGAUAUGCUCUUGAUCUUGACUAUAUGGAGGUUAUGCCGAGAGCUGCCAUGUAUCUCCCCCGCAGAGGGAAUCAUGCCACUGAUGUCUUGUCGAUCUGUCAGCGGAUACACGCGAUUGAGCGUGAGGCUUUGGACUUAAGGAUCGUUAAGAAGGGCGGUCUUGAGGCGGUGACCAUCACGAAGAUGGUGGUUAGCGAGGCAACGAGUGCGGUGGGAUACAGGAGGCGGAGGAGGAGCCAAGAGGUGAGGAUUAGGCCGACGCAAUAAGCUAUGUUUUUUUUA